UAUAAGUAAAAAGUGUGAAUAUUUUCGUAACUUACUUUUUUAUGUGAUAAAAUUAAUUUUAUUGGACUUCCAACAUAAAUUGAUUUAGCAAAACUCAGUUCAAAGGUUUAAAUCAGACCUAAAACGUCAGGACCCGCCCACGUACCUGCAUGCAGCUGUGGAAGAACAAGCCCAGACACGUUUCUUCACGGAGCCCAAUAGGAAAACACUUUACCGAACUCAUGUAAGUAACAAUUUAUAUUGUUAAAAGUCAGUAUUUGCCAGGAUUUAAAUGUAUACAUUUUCAAAAGCAUGGUUCAAUGUUAUAUUUAGUUUACUACUUUUCCCGCCGUAACAUUACAAACCCCCCCCCCCCCCCCCAAACACGAUAGAUAGAACUGCUCUCGUUUUGUUAUAAAAUAACAAAACUGUUUUAAGGCUGCAAUCACAACCAAAUUCAUGUAUAGUUGGUAAUAAUCGCGUUGUAUCAAUGUUUCUCAUAUCCGACACUAAUAAGUGCGAAUAUGUUUCAAAUCAACUUUUUUUUUAAAUUAUUUAUUUUUCCCCUUCGCGCUUGCCGUAGUUGCAAAGCAGAUUUCGCGGGCAGUUUGAGUUGGUGAUGGCGGCCACAACGUCCAUGUUGACUUCACUCGCUCUUUCUAAGCUGCCCAAGUCACGUCGGAGUUCAUUGACGGUAACUUUGUUGGCUUAAACAUCACAUUUAGGUUUAGGGUCUACUAGGCGCGAUGCGAGACGUCACAAGCGGGCUAACGUUGAGCCAAACAGCAGCUUCGAGGCACGGGCGGAAAUGAGAAGGAGUUUGGCCCCCAGUCAGGUCGCCAAACGGAAGCAAGGGGAGGAUGAUCAUCGAGACGAAAUAUAGUAUAUUAACCACGAGCGGUUCUCGAGAGAAGAUGAAUGGAGAAAAUUGGGACAGUGAUGAAGAAGUCCAAGUUCCAUGGCCACUCAACAAAGCAGGAGGAAGGAAGCAGUCACAAACCAAAUACGUGGCAAGAAUUCUGAGAUUUGGUGAAGACACACGUGAACUGACGCCAUAUUUGAAAGCCGCUCAGGAUGGCAAGGAUGUACCCCUUACUGGUGAUUUGGAAUAUGGCAGAGGCAAGAGAAACAAACAGCCAAAGUCUUGGUCAUCAGACAGUGAGAGCAAGGAUGAAAGUGUUGAGGAGACUCUAUCUGACAGACAGCAGAAGAAAAAGAGGAAAGUAAGCCGUACAGCUGUGGGAUAUGAUGCUCGGGCACAAUUGAAGGCCCAACUUGCUGCUCUGGGAAGAACUUCACCGAAAGAUACAUGUACAGAAAUGGAAUCCCUGAAGAAGGAAGUCCUCCAGUUGAGAGAGGAAAACAAAUCCCUUCGAGAUGCAUUGAGGGUUGUUGAAGGACUUCCUGGCCUGCUAAUGAAGAUGGACGACUUAUCACAUCAGGCAACAAUACUAUCAGCUCGACGUCCUGCUGUCGCUCUGCCAGAGAGGAGCUGGCCAACAGCAGCUUGACAGGAAAAAAAUCCAAUGCUUUUAAGGAUAAGCAUGAGAAACCAAAACUGGAUGACAAGAAAGUGUCUGCUAUUAUUGAUUUUGUGAAGAAGCUCCAUCCCUCAAGUGAAGCAAAUGUGAUAAAGAAAAUCAUUGGAGUGAAACUGAACAUUGCGCAGAAAAUGGGAAAAAAAGAAGGCCUCAGAAACAAAUUCUGCUGGACGUC
Non-coding RNA from Nerophis lumbriciformis (worm pipefish), 1695 nucleotides. The record is from RefSeq and is a predicted model, not a curated record. Lineage: Eukaryota; Metazoa; Chordata; Actinopteri; Syngnathiformes; Syngnathidae.